RNAcentral lists this long non-coding RNA (279 nucleotides) under Mytilus galloprovincialis (Mediterranean mussel). The record is from RNAcentral. Lineage: Eukaryota; Metazoa; Mollusca; Bivalvia; Mytilida; Mytilidae.
UUUUUUACCUGUCUUUAGUCAGGAAUCUGAUGUUCAGUGGUUGUCGUUUGUCUCUUUGGUUCAUAAGUGAUUCUCGUUUUUCGUUUUUGUAUGUACAUUAGACAUUUGGUUUUCCUGUUUGAAUGGAUUAACACUAGUUGGACCUUUUAUAGCUUGCAGUUUUGAUGUGAGAUAAGGCGUCAUGUAGUAGACCGUACUUUGACCUAUUAUGGUUUACUUUUACAAAUUGUGACUUGUAAGGGAUAGUUUCCGCGUUUGCACCAUACCACAUCUUUUUUU